Molecule: ribosomal RNA, 440 nt
Filed under: uncultured bacterium
Lineage: Bacteria
Description: bacterial SSU rRNA
Rfam family: Bacterial small subunit ribosomal RNA
Source: RNAcentral
CCUACGGGAUGCAGCAGUGGGGAAUAUCGCACAAUGGGCGCAAGCCUGAUGCAGCCAUGCCGCGUGAGUGAAGAAGGCCUUAGGGUUGUAAAGCUCUUUCACCGGUGAAGAUAAUGACGGUAACCGGAGAAGAAGCCCCGGCUAACUUCGUGCCAGCAGCCGCGGUAAUACGAAGGGGGCUAGCGUUGUUCGGAAUUACUGGGCGUAAAGCGCGCGUAGGCGGAUAGAUAAGUCAGAGGUGAAAUCCCGGGGCUCAACCCCGGAAUUGCCUUUGAUACUGUUUAUCUUGAGUGCAGAAGAGGUAAGUGGAAUUCCGAGUGUAGAGGUGAAAUUCGUAGAUAUUCGGAGGAACACUAGUGGCGAAGGCGGCUUACUGGUCUGCAACUGACGCUGAGGCGCGAAAGCGUGGGGAGCAAACAGGAUUAGAUACCCUGGUAGUC